GAAAUGCGAUAAGUAAUGUGAAUUGCAGAAUUCAGUGAAUCAUCGAAUCUUUGAACGCCCCUUGCGCUCCUUGGUAUUCCUUGGAGCAUGCCUGUUUGAGUAUCAUGAAAUCUUCAACGUAAAUCUUUUGUUAACUCAAUUGGUUUCUACUUUGGUAUUGGAGGUCUUUGCAGCUUCACACCUGCUCCUCUUUGUUCAUUAGCUGGAUCUCAGUGUUAUGCUUGGUUCCACUCGGCGUGAUAAGUUAUCUAUCGCUGAGGACACUGUAAAAGGUGGCCAAGGUAAAUGCAGAUGAACCGCUUCUAAUAGUCCAUUGACUUGGACAAUACUUUUAUGAUCUGAUCUCAAAUCAGGUAGGACUACCCGCUGAACUUAAGC
RNAcentral lists this unclassified non-coding RNA (378 nucleotides) under plant metagenome. RNAcentral describes it as "partial contains 5.8S ribosomal RNA, internal transcribed spacer 2, and large subunit ribosomal RNA". The stretch from base 1 to 105 matches the Rfam family "5.8S ribosomal RNA", at positions 50 to 154 of the family's 154-position model. The record is from RNAcentral.